GUUUUCAACUACUUUUUUAAAGACAACAUUAUCAAAUUUGCGUUUAAAACAAGCCUUUUGCAAAUAAGAAUGGACUUAGUCUUAAUUAUUUUUGAACAAAUGUAUCUAUUUAUGCAAAAUUCUAGUUCUUAUUCCCACCCUUCGGAUGAAUUAGAAAAACACUAGCCUCUAGACAAGUUUGUUCGAAAUUUUCUUAAAGUAAUUGACUAUCAUCUAGAGAAAUAACUAAAAAGUUCUUAGUUUUGAAAUCAUUCUUAG
RNAcentral lists this long non-coding RNA (258 nucleotides) under Lathyrus oleraceus (garden pea). Its description in RNAcentral is "Pisum sativum (pea) long non-coding RNA (PSAT_LNC023425)". Lineage: Eukaryota; Viridiplantae; Streptophyta; Magnoliopsida; Fabales; Fabaceae. The record is from RNAcentral.